This 2866-nucleotide ribosomal RNA is filed under the name Escherichia coli. RNAcentral's name for it is "bacterial LSU rRNA". It matches the Rfam family "Bacterial large subunit ribosomal RNA". The record is from RNAcentral. Lineage: Bacteria; Pseudomonadati; Pseudomonadota; Gammaproteobacteria; Enterobacterales; Enterobacteriaceae.
UUAAGCGACUAAGCGUACACGGUGGAUGCCCUGGCAGUCAGAGGCGAUGAAGGACGUGCUAAUCUGCGAUAAGCGUCGGUAAGGUGAUAUGAACCGUUAUAACCGGCGAUUUCCGAAUGGGGAAACCCAGUGUGUUUCGACACACUAUCAUUAACUGAAUCCAUAGGUUAAUGAGGCGAACCGGGGGAACUGAAACAUCUAAGUACCCCGAGGAAAAGAAAUCAACCGAGAUUCCCCCAGUAGCGGCGAGCGAACGGGGAGCAGCCCAGAGCCUGAAUCAGUGUGUGUGUUAGUGGAAGCGUCUGGAAAGGCGCGCGAUACAGGGUGACAGCCCCGUACACAAAAAUGCACAUGCUGUGAGCUCGAUGAGUAGGGCGGGACACGUGGUAUCCUGUCUGAAUAUGGGGGGACCAUCCUCCAAGGCUAAAUACUCCUGACUGACCGAUAGUGAACCAGUACCGUGAGGGAAAGGCGAAAAGAACCCCGGCGAGGGGAGUGAAAAAGAACCUGAAACCGUGUACGUACAAGCAGUGGGAGCACGCUUAGGCGUGUGACUGCGUACCUUUUGUAUAAUGGGUCAGCGACUUAUAUUCUGUAGCAAGGUUAACCGAAUAGGGGAGCCGAAGGGAAACCGAGUCUUAACUGGGCGUUAAGUUGCAGGGUAUAGACCCGAAACCCGGUGAUCUAGCCAUGGGCAGGUUGAAGGUUGGGUAACACUAACUGGAGGACCGAACCGACUAAUGUUGAAAAAUUAGCGGAUGACUUGUGGCUGGGGGUGAAAGGCCAAUCAAACCGGGAGAUAGCUGGUUCUCCCCGAAAGCUAUUUAGGUAGCGCCUCGUGAAUUCAUCUCCGGGGGUAGAGCACUGUUUCGGCAAGGGGGUCAUCCCGACUUACCAACCCGAUGCAAACUGCGAAUACCGGAGAAUGUUAUCACGGGAGACACACGGCGGGUGCUAACGUCCGUCGUGAAGAGGGAAACAACCCAGACCGCCAGCUAAGGUCCCAAAGUCAUGGUUAAGUGGGAAACGAUGUGGGAAGGCCCAGACAGCCAGGAUGUUGGCUUAGAAGCAGCCAUCAUUUAAAGAAAGCGUAAUAGCUCACUGGUCGAGUCGGCCUGCGCGGAAGAUGUAACGGGGCUAAACCAUGCACCGAAGCUGCGGCAGCGACNNNNNNNNNNNNNGAAGGUGUGCUGUGAGGCAUGCUGGAGGUAUCAGAAGUGCGAAUGCUGACAUAAGUAACGAUAAAGCGGGUGAAAAGCCCGCUCGCCGGAAGACCAAGGGUUCCUGUCCAACGUUAAUCGGGGCAGGGUGAGUCGACCCCUAAGGCGAGGCCGAAAGGCGUAGUCGAUGGGAAACAGGUUAAUAUUCCUGUACUUGGUGUUACUGCGAAGGGGGGACGGAGAAGGCUAUGUUGGCCGGGCGACGGUUGUCCCGGUUUAAGCGUGUAGGCUGGUUUUCCAGGCAAAUCCGGAAAAUCAAGGCUGAGGCGUGAUGACGAGGCACUACGGUGCUGAAGCAACAAAUGCCCUGCUUCCAGGAAAAGCCUCUAAGCAUCAGGUAACAUCAAAUCGUACCCCAAACCGACACAGGUGGUCAGGUAGAGAAUACCAAGGCGCUUGAGAGAACUCGGGUGAAGGAACUAGGCAAAAUGGUGCCGUAACUUCGGGAGAAGGCACGCUGAUAUGUAGGUGAAGCGACUUGCUCGUGGAGCUGAAAUCAGUCGAAGAUACCAGCUGGCUGCAACUGUUUAUUAAAAACACAGCACUGUGCAAACACGAAAGUGGACGUAUACGGUGUGACGCCUGCCCGGUGCCGGAAGGUUAAUUGAUGGGGUUAGCGCAAGCGAAGCUCUUGAUCGAAGCCCCGGUAAACGGCGGCCGUAACUAUAACGGUCCUAAGGUAGCGAAAUUCCUUGUCGGGUAAGUUCCGACCUGCACGAAUGGCGUAAUGAUGGCCAGGCUGUCUCCACCCGAGACUCAGUGAAAUUGAACUCGCUGUGAAGAUGCAGUGUACCCGCGGCAAGACGGAAAGACCCCGUGAACCUUUACUAUAGCUUGACACUGAACAUUGAGCCUUGAUGUGUAGGAUAGGUGGGAGGCUUAGAAGUGUGGACGCCAGUCUGCAUGGAGCCGACCUUGAAAUACCACCCUUUAAUGUUUGAUGUUCUAACGUUGACCCGUAAUCCGGGUUGCGGACAGUGUCUGGUGGGUAGUUUGACUGGGGCGGUCUCCUCCUAAAGAGUAACGGAGGAGCACGAAGGUUGGCUAAUCCUGGUCGGACAUCAGGAGGUUAGUGCAAUGGCAUAAGCCAGCUUGACUGCGAGCGUGACGGCGCGAGCAGGUGCGAAAGCAGGUCAUAGUGAUCCGGUGGUUCUGAAUGGAAGGGCCAUCGCUCAACGGAUAAAAGGUACUCCGGGGAUAACAGGCUGAUACCGCCCAAGAGUUCAUAUCGACGGCGGUGUUUGGCACCUCGAUGUCGGCUCAUCACAUCCUGGGGCUGAAGUAGGUCCCAAGGGUAUGGCUGUUCGCCAUUUAAAGUGGUACGCGAGCUGGGUUUAGAACGUCGUGAGACAGUUCGGUCCCUAUCUGCCGUGGGCGCUGGAGAACUGAGGGGGGCUGCUCCUAGUACGAGAGGACCGGAGUGGACGCAUCACUGGUGUUCGGGUUGUCAUGCCAAUGGCACUGCCCGGUAGCUAAAUGCGGAAGAGAUAAGUGCUGAAAGCAUCUAAGCACGAAACUUGCCCCGAGAUGAGUUCUCCCUGACNGUCCUGAAGGAACGUUGAAGACGACGACGUUGAUAGGCCGGGUGUGUAAGCGCAGCGAUGCGUUGAGCUAACCGGUACUAAUGAACCGUGAGGCUUAACCUU